Molecule: long non-coding RNA, 1145 nt
Filed under: Sorghum bicolor (sorghum)
Lineage: Eukaryota; Viridiplantae; Streptophyta; Magnoliopsida; Poales; Poaceae
Description: long non-coding RNA (SBIC_LNC013237)
Source: RNAcentral
CCUGGCUCCCAGAAAACGGAUGGUGGCACCGUUUUUCUGGGGCCUGGCUUGGCCAAGCCGCUCGCCCGCGACGUCCGCCAUGAAAGACGAACCAGACCGCCCGCCGGAGCUCGAUUCGGUUCCAUAUGCGCUCGAUUCGGCCUGUUUCUUCACCGUAUGCGCUCGAUUCGGCCGGCGCCCUUCCGCUCGCCGCCGCCGCACGGCGAGAUCCAGUGCCGCCGCCGACGCUACUGGCAAGAAGGUGCCGCCGCCGUCCUCCCUCGGCGACCUACCAGACAUCAGCCGCAGCAAGCCCGCGCCGCCGGAGCUCGCGGGACGACGCGUCGUGAAGGACAACCCGUUCCUGAUGCGCGACCGCGAGAGCAAGGGCGACGGCACCGUGGCGCCGCGGUGGUAGCGGCGGGACCCGUUCGAGGGAUGCCCCGAGCGGCGGCCUCCGGGCGCGACGGGCGGCGGCGUGGUGCUGUACACGACGACGCUCCGUGACGAGGGCAGGAUGACGAAGCCGCAGCGGAGUGCUUCGACCACGAGGGAGGCUGCAGCCGUGCCAGACGACGUCGACGAAGAAGCUCACCAUUUGUUCGAUAAAAUGCUUCAAAGACAGUAAGGCAAAGCUGAGCAAGCAACCAAACAAACUCUUAUAGAAACCAGAGCAAGCAACCAAACAAACUCUUAUAGAAACCAGGCCAGCUGAGCAAACCAACCAAACAAACCCUGUUGACUUGCUGGGGACAAGUCUAGCCUAGCCUCGCUCCAAUUAAGCCAAGAAACCAAACAGACCCUGAGUGUUAUUAGUAGAUUUCUCUCUCUCUGCAUCUCGUGUGUCCUUAUCUUUGCAAAUAAUUCGAUAAAUGAAGGGGUUCAUCUGGAAAAUUCUUGGGUCCUUCCAUUCCAAAGAUUAUAAAGCUCUCCACCGUACGCCAAGAUGUUCAGUUUGGUCCUCAUAUGAGGUAGAUAAACAUGUUGCAACAACUAAAGAAGUCAUGUGUUGUAUCACCACGUGAAUGACGAUUGUCAUGCCAUGAAAAAAGCAGGAUAGAUUAGGGCUUUAAAUUCAGGUUCACAUGCAAAGCGCACAAAAUCCGAAUUAAUUAAUGAGCCUAAUACUACUCUCUAUAUAUGAAAAAUACUUUGUGCUCCUGUUC